RNAcentral lists this non-coding RNA (242 nucleotides) under Peptococcaceae bacterium. Its description in RNAcentral is "T-box sequence". It matches the Rfam family "T-box leader". Rfam says of the family: Uncharged tRNA acts as the effector for transcription antitermination of genes in the T-box leader family. T-boxes are found upstream of many aminoacyl-tRNA synthetase genes and some amino acid biosynthetic genes usually in Gram-positive bacteria. The record is from RNAcentral. Lineage: Bacteria; Bacillati; Bacillota; Clostridia; Eubacteriales; Peptococcaceae.
GAAAUGGCGAUGAGUGGGAAGAGUAGGUAGUAAGGUGUUUCCAACAGAGAGUCAGGUUAGGUGAGAGCUGACGAAACGCCUACUAUUGAACAUGGCCCAGGAGCUGCAGGCUGAAGUAGCAGUAGGCCUAGCCGGGAAGCGCCCGUUAGCGCGCAAGGGUAUAGUGAUCUGUACCUGGAAGCGGCUGUGCUGUGCACGGCAAAAUUGGGUGGUACCGCGUGAGUAGAACUCUCGUCCCGAUA